Molecule: long non-coding RNA, 1178 nt
Filed under: Neogobius melanostomus (round goby)
Lineage: Eukaryota; Metazoa; Chordata; Actinopteri; Gobiiformes; Gobiidae
Description: lncRNA (ENSNMLG00000001796.1)
Source: RNAcentral
GAAGUUGUCCCCGCCCUCAGAGCUGAUAAACGGACUGACCGCCGCUCGUCCCAGGUCUCCGCGAGCUUCUCACCGGAGGCAGCGUUUACUGGAUGAAAGAUGGCGGAAAGUGGCUGCGGGCGCCACGGCUUUAUUUCUUGAUUCCUGAAUUUUUCUAGUUCUUCUCUGAACGGUACCGCUGCCGCCCCGGGAGUGGCUUCGUUUCAAGAGUCGUAGAGAAGUUUUCUGGAAAUGAGCCGCAGCUGAAAACUAUAAUGACCCGACGCAGCGAAGGCAUGUGGGUCCUGCAGCAGCAGCAGUACACCGACCCCUCCCCUCCCCUGCCCGCAGAUCACGUCCUCUUCUCCGGGGCAGUCUCCUUCCCAGGGGCUUUUGAUCAGCUGGGCGCCCCUCUGGUUGUGUUCCCUGUGGCUGGACAGGCUCAGAUCUCCACGACGCUCAGUAAGGCUGAGGUGGUGGACUUCAUCAACUACUGCCAUUACCAGCACAAUAAAACACAGAAGAGCAGCUUGGUGUCAGUAGUGGCUGACCUCAGGGAAGCGUCUGCCUCCUCCACACGGUUCAUUGCCGAGACCCUGCUCCUACUUGAGCUGCAGAAGAGAACGGUGCACAGUGCAUAUAUAAUUCAGCCAAAGAGGAAAGACUCUCUUCGACUGUUGCUCAAACUGUGGACUUCUUCCAAAUCUCAGCCUGUUACUUUCAAGAAAGUUCUUCUGAAAGAGGUUUUCGAGCUCUCCAACUACAUUGACAGAAGUCAGCUGCCGGCCUCGCUGGGAGGAUAUCUUGUGUACUGUCACCAAAGCUGGGCCGUCUUCACUAAGGAGAUGGAUGCAUUUACAGAGCACCUUGGGUCAGCUGCACAGCGGUUGCCUGGCUGUCUCUCCUUUCUCCAGGCCUUGUCUAUGCUGCCUCUGCCCAGUUCAGCUCCUGAGCUCCAGCUCUUCUGCUCCACUAAUGAAGCCCGCUUCCAGCAGCUCCAGAGGUCAGGCAAACCAGCUUGAGUUCCCACUAGUGGUUAGCCUCAGAAUAUCUUUUUAAACCGCAGGAAGAUGAUUGUAAUUCUUCACAUUCUUUCUCUCAGCAUACUCCAGAUUUCAUAGUGCAUAUUGGCAUGGUUAAUGAAAUGAUUGAGGUGGCUAAAUCCUGAUAAUUUGGAUGAGAAUAAUCUCAAAUCGCAG